UUCCCUACGGGUGGCUGCAGUAGGGAAUAUUAGUAAUGGGCGAAAGCCUGAACUAGCAACGCCGCGUGUGCGAAGAAGGCCUUCGGGUUGUAAAGCACUUUUUGAGAGGAUGAGGAAGGACGGUACUCUCAGAAUAAGUCUCGGCUAACUACGUGCCAGCAGCCGCGGUAACACGUAGGAGGCAAACGUUAUCCGGAUUUACUGGGCGUAAAGCGCGUGUAGGUGGUUUGGUAAGUAGGGCGUGAAAGCUCCUGGCUCAACUGGGAGAGGACGUUCUAAACUACCAAGCUUGAGGAUGGUAGAGGGAGGUGGAAUUCCGGGUGUAGCGGUGGAAUGCGCAGAUAUCCGGAGGAACACCAGUGGCGAAGGCGGCCUCCUGGACCAUUCCUGACACUCAGACGCGAAAGCUAGGGUAGCAAACGGGAUUAGAUACCCCGGUAGUCG
This 444-nucleotide ribosomal RNA is filed under the name uncultured bacterium. Its description in RNAcentral is "bacterial SSU rRNA". It matches the Rfam family "Bacterial small subunit ribosomal RNA", at positions 335 to 796 of the family's 1533-position model. The record is from RNAcentral.